Ictalurus punctatus (channel catfish) is the source of this 350-nucleotide long non-coding RNA. Lineage: Eukaryota; Metazoa; Chordata; Actinopteri; Siluriformes; Ictaluridae. The record is from Ensembl.
AGAGGGAGAGAGAGAGAGAUCAGCGCUUGAGUAAACAAAUACGUUUUAAUCCUAGACUUAAACACUGAGACUGUGUCUGAGUCCCGAACACUAAUAGGAAGACUGUUCCAUAACUGUGGGGCUCUAUAAGAGAAAGCUCUUCCCCCUGCUGUAGCCUUCACUAUUCGAGGUACCGUCAGAUAGCCUGCAUCUUUUGAUCUAAGUAGGCGUGGCGGAUCAAAUAAAACCAAAAGGUCGCUUAGAUAUUGUGGCACGAGACCAUUUAGUGCUUUAUAGAAAACCAAAAGGUCGCUUAGAUAUUGUGGCACGAGACCAUUUAGUGCUUUAUAGGUAAAUAAAAGUAUUUUAUA